This 470-nucleotide ribosomal RNA is filed under the name uncultured organism. Its description in RNAcentral is "partial 16S ribosomal RNA". It matches the Rfam family "Bacterial small subunit ribosomal RNA", at positions 335 to 797 of the family's 1533-position model. The record is from RNAcentral.
ACUCCUACGGGAGGCAGCAGUGGGGAAUUUUGGACAAUGGGGGCAACCCUGAUCCAGUAAUGCCGCGUGGGUGAAGAAGGCCUUCGGGUUGUAAAGCUCUUUUGUCAGGGAAGAAACGGUGGUGGCGAAUAACUACUACUAAUGACGGUACCUGAAGAAUAAGCACCGGCUAACUACGUGCCAGCAGCCGCGGUAAUACGUAGGGUGCAAGCGUUAAUCGGAAUUACUGGGCGUAAAGCGUGCGCAGGCGGUUGUGUAAGUCAGAUGUGAAAUCCCCGGGCUCAACCUGGGAAUUGCAUUUGAGACUGCACGGCUAGAGUGUGUCAGAGGGGGGUAGAAUUCCACGUGUAGCAGUGAAAUGCGUAGAUAUGUGGAGGAAUACCGAUGGCGAAGGCAGCCCCCUGGGAUAACACUGACGCUCAUGCACGAAAGCGUGGGGAGCAAACAGGAUUAGAAACCCCGGUAGUCCC